Molecule: long non-coding RNA, 271 nt
Organism: Cervus elaphus (red deer)
Lineage: Eukaryota; Metazoa; Chordata; Mammalia; Artiodactyla; Cervidae
Exons: 3
Source: RefSeq, a predicted model, not a curated record
ACCUCUCCUGCAUUGCAGAUGGAUUCUUUACCACUGAGCCAACAGUGAAGAGGUGACUUAUAAACAAACCUUGAAGUAUAAAUGGGGGACAAGAAGUGUGGGACAUGGUGAAUUAAGUGCUUGGAGAGAAGGUUGUUACAUGUCUUGGCUACUGUGAAUAAGGCUGCAAUGAAGAAGGGGGUACAGAUUUCCUCCAGGUGCGUACUCAGAAAUGGAACUGCCAGAUCAUAUGAACAAUGGACACAGUGAGAGCUUUAUCUUUUUGGGCUCC